RNAcentral lists this long non-coding RNA (423 nucleotides) under Brassica rapa (field mustard). Its description in RNAcentral is "long non-coding RNA (BRAP_LNC001609)". The record is from RNAcentral. Lineage: Eukaryota; Viridiplantae; Streptophyta; Magnoliopsida; Brassicales; Brassicaceae.
AAAAGGCCUCGUACUAUUAGAGUUGGACAUCUAUUUAUAUAUUAGACACUCCUUGUCUAAUUCUCCAAUGUGGGACUUAGUUUGUUAUAUCACAUUCUCCCCUUCAAACUAAGGAUCACAUUCAUCUCGUGUCCCACAACUGACUUCCAGAAUCUUCUGACUUGAUUUCUGCCACACACCUCUCAUUCCUAACUCAUAGGAUACCCAUUCAUCACUCAUUCAUCACUCAAAGGGUAUUUCGGUCUUUCUUGCAGAUUUCUCGUCAACCGGCUCUGAUACCAAUUGUUGGGAUUGUGAAAUCCCGUGUCCAACUCUAUAUUAUCCGAUUAGUACGAUAUUGUCCACUUUGGGCCUAAUUGGCAAGCCCGCAUGGAUUUACUUUUGGUUUCCAUCCCAAAAGGCCUCGUACUAUUAGAGUUGGAC